AUGGCGGAGUUUGCUCUUGGUCUGACCAAGACGGCGGUGCAGGGCACGCUGAACAGCGUGAAGUCGGCCAUCGAGGAAGAGGGGAAGCUGAGGGUGCGUGUGCAGGAUGACCUGGUGUUCAUCUCCGGUGAGUUCCGGAUGAUGCAGUCUUUUCUGAAAGCCUCCAAUGCGGGGGGGCGUGCAUCCCAGAGCGAGGUGAUGCAGGCAUGGGUGAAGCAGCUCCGUGACCUGGCCUUCGAGGUGGAGGACUGCGUCGAGUUUGUGGUCCACCUCGACCAGCCAUCGCCCUGGGAUUUUGUGCGGCGCCUGACCUCGCCUCUCAUGUGCAUGGGAAGGCGGCCGCUGCCGCUGGAUGUGGCGGUGGCGGAUAUAAAGCAGCUCAAGGUGAGGGUGGAGGACCUAAGCCAGAGGAACACACGCUACAACCUCUUCAGUACCAGUGGCGGCGAUGGCGGUGGCAACGACUCCUCAGAUCAGCAGCAGCUAAUGCAUGUUGCGGGUACUAUUACUAGUAGUACACCGGCGACAAUGGAGGUAUUCCCCUUCCUAAGGAAGGUUUGGGAGUCCACGGGAAAGCUGAUCCACACCAACGGUGAGCUCAAAAGGUUGAUUGACUGUGAAGGCAGGGAGCUCAAAGUGAUCUCGCUAUGGCGAAGUCAGCAGGCUGAUGUUGUUGGUGAACUUGGGUGGGUGACUAUUGCGAAGAAGGCUUUUGAUGACCCAGAAAUCUGCCAAGAAUUCAAGAAUCGCACCUGGGUAAAGCUGAGUACUCAUCAUCCUUUUAACCCGGUAGAGUUUCUCAACAAUUUACUGAGUCAUUUCACUACAUCUCGUCACCACCGGCAUGACAAUAUAUCCGAGCUUAUGCUGCAAGUCAGCCGACACAGGUAUCUCAUUGUCCUAGAGACAGAGUUAUCUAGUGUUGCAGAGUGGGAUGCCAUCAAAAGGUGCCUUCUGGACGACAAAAAUGGCAGUCGAAUUGUCAUCUCCACCAAGCAUUUGGGAAUUGCCCUUGUCUGCACGGGGGACCCGUACCAAGUAUCAGAGCUUAAACGCUUCUCUUAUGAUCGAUCACUUUGUGCCAUUUUACCGAAGGGUUAUGGGCAUCGCAUCGGCAUGGGUGAAUUAUUUUGGCAAUUAAGACGACGACAGUUUGGUGUUAUCUCCUUGUUGGGGCGGACCUAUCGAGAGAUACCAUCAUUAAUAGUUGAACUGUACUCCUACCGUGUCCGCAGGUAUAGGGUAUUCGACGGAGUGAAAUUUAAAUACUAUUGCCGCUUUGAUGUUAGUACUAAAGAUGGGCCGUUGAAACCGGUUGACUUGGCUCUGUCCAUACUUGUGCAAUCAUGUUCCGAAGAUGAUCAAGAAGAGGAAUGUAAAAAGAUCAGGGAGACGGAAAUUUCUGAAGAUGUUAUCAUUGGAAAAGCUCGUAAUUUUCUGACUGAGCACGAUUGCCUCCUCUUAAUCACGAACCUGGAGUCUAGUACAGAUUGGAACUUGAUUAAGCAUCAUUUCUUAUGUGAGUCUACUAGAGGCUACAUCAUUGUUAUUACAAGUAAACAAAGUGUAGCCACACACUGUGUAGAUCACAAAAAACAUCUGGUGCUCGACAUGGAAGAACUGAUGAAGGGUUGUGGGCAUCGAAUCGGCAUGAGUGAGUUAUUUUGGAAUCUAAAACAACAUGAUGGUGUUGUAUCCUUGUUCUGUCAAACUGAUCAGGAGAGAUCACAGUUAAUGGAUACACUAUACUCCUGCAAGUAUAGGGUAUUCGACGGAGUGAAAUAUGGGUUGUUCAAGCUGGUUGACUUGGCUCUAUUCAUACUUGCGCAAUCACACCCAGAAGAUAAACAAGAAACUGAAUGUCAAAAGCUUAUUAGGGAGGUGAAGAAUGACAACGAAAUAAUUAAAUUGGGUCAUCAGUUUCUGAUUGAACACAAUUGCCUUCUUUUUAUCACAAACCUGGACUCCACCACGGAUUGGGACUUGAUUAAACAAGAACUCUUAUGUGAUGAUACUAUAGGUUACAUUGUUGUUAUUACAAGUGACCGAAGUUUUGCCACACAUUGUGUCGAUCAAAAACAUGAUUGUGUGAUCGAUGUAGAAGACCUAAUGAAGGGUUGUGGGCAUCGUGUCAUCAUGAAUGAAUUAUUUUGGCAAUCUCCUUGUCCAGGAAAACAAGGUGUUAUCUCCUUGUUCUGGCAGAUCGAUGAAGAGAGAUCACAAUUAAGGGAUGAAUUGAACUCCUAUCAGACCCGCAAGUAUAGGAUAUUUGACGGGAAGAAAUUUGAACAUUGUUUCAACUUCAUUGAUAUUGAAGAUGGGCAGUUCAAAUUGGUUGACCUGGCUCGGUUCGUACUUGCGCAAGUGGACCCAAAAAGAGGUGAAGAGUCUAGUGGGGAGAAUAGUGAACUGUUUAUAAUUGAAGAGAGUCGUAAGUAUCUGACUGAACACAAUUGCCUCCUCUUUAUCACAAACCUGAAGACCACAGAUUGGGACUUGAUUAAGCAACACCUCUUAUGCAAGUCUACUAGAUGUUACAUUGUUGUUAUUACAAAAGACCGAAGUGUGGCCGAAUAUUGUGUAGAUGGCAAACAAGAUCAGGUGCUCGAUGUUGGAGUUCUAAAGAAGGGUUGUGGGCAUCGCAUCGGCAUGAGUGAAUUAUGUUGGCAACUAAGAGGACAUCAUGGUGUUUUAUCCUUGUUUGGGCGGACUGAUGAAAAGAUAUCACAAUUAUUGGACAAAUUGGAAUCUUAUCGCGUCCGCAAGUAUAGGAUAUUUGACGGAUUCAAAUUUGAUCAGUGUUACCGAUAUGAUGUUCCUAGAGACGGGCAGUGGAAAGUGGUUGACUUGGCUCUGUUCAUAGUUGUAAAAUCAUGGACAAUAGAUGAACAAGAAACUGAAUAUAAAAGGCUCAUGGCGAUGGAUAAUAGUGACCGCGAUAUUGCAAUAAUUGAAAUGAGUCGUAAGUUUCUGACUAAACAGAAAUGGCUCCUCUUUAUCACAAACCUGAAGUCCACCACCGAGUGGAAUUCUAUUAAAGAACACCUCUUAAGCGAAGAUACUAAAGGUUACAUUGUUGUUGUUACAAGUGACCAAAGUGUGGCCACACAUUGUGUAGAUCACAAACAAGAUCAGGUGCUCAAUAUUGAAGAUCUGAUGAAGCAGGACCCGAGCGGACUUGCAGAUGGUGGAGGCAACACACAGGAAGAAGGUGAAUCUGAACCUUAUGCCAUUGCUCGGGAUGAAGAUAGAGAGAGGGUCUUUUAUGACCUCCAUGCUGGUAAGAAGUUGUCUGUGUGGGGAAUUGCCGGUCUUGGGAAAUCAACUCUUGUCAAACACCAUUACAACAAGAUAAAGUCUAUGCAAGUGUAUGUCAUGUAUGGCUGGGUGGAGGUGCCCCAGCCGUUCAAUUUGACGGGCUUGUGUCAGAGAUUGCUUCUGGAUCUUUUAUCAGAUAAUGUUGAUGCAAAGGAAGCUGUAGCAGUUGGUAUGUUUGGAGGCCAAGACCCUAUUCAAGAGUGUAUCAAAAUUCUACUAGAACACAAAUGCCUCCUUGUUUUCGAUGGUCUACAGUCCACGGAUGACUGGGACUUGAUAAAUAAAACCUUGCUAUCCCAGCCUAUCAGUGGGGGAACUAUCAUCAUUACACGUCAAGAAAGAGUUGCCAGACACUGUUCCGAACACAAGGUUUACGACACCUAUGGUUUAGAACCUGAUGUAGCCCUUGAUCUGUUCACAAAGAUAAUUUUGAAUGGCAAGCCACUGUUCGACGAUGCACUGAAGGAUUCAGAAAUUAUGCUCUCCAAGUGUGGUGGGCUUCCAGAAGUAAUAAUUGCUAUUGGAAAACAAAUCCACUCAAAGGCACAACAUAAAGAUUCGUUGUUGCGGAUCUUGAAGGAAAUAAAUAAUGACUUCAGGGGAUAUUUACGGUUGCACCUUCCUAUGUUAAGGGGUCUAUUUUGUUGGAUGCAAUCCUACUUUGAUACUUGCUCGGAUGAUCACAAACCAUGUAUCUUCUAUAUGUCAAUCUUCCCUGCAGACCAACGCAUUAGAUGGACGCGGUUACUCAGGCGGUGGAUCGCCGAAGGUUACUCGCCUACGGAGAAGAAGGCAGCAGAUCUCGCAUUGGAGCUCAUGAAGUCGAGUAUAAUGUACUAUGGGGACGGAAAUGAGAUAUCAAUGAGGAGUAUGUUCAGGCUCAAUGGUUUCUUCCUUGAAUACAUCAAGUCACAACCAAUGGAACAUAACCGUGUGUUUGAACUAGACGGGAGUUGCAGCCCCAGCUCGCGGCUCACUGGACAACACCUCACCAUAAGAAGCAGCUGGGACAGAGAUCGGAUUGUAUUCAAGAGCCUGGACGUGUCACGGCUACGGUCUUUCACAGUGUUCGGGAAGUGGGACAAAUUCCUCAUCUGUAACAAGAUGAAGCUGCUCCGGGUGCUUGAUCUGGAGGGCACUAGUACACCAGAUAUUCCUUCUAGUGUAAGCAAUGAUGAUCUGGAGAAGAUCGCGGAGCUGUUUUCACGCCUCAAGGUCAUUUCCCUACGAGGAUGCAUUAAGGUCACUCGUCUCCCAGAUUCAAUUGGUGACAUGAAGCAACUGCAUACUCUGGAUGCCAAGAACACCUCUAUUGUCGAGCUGCCACCUGCUAUCAUCACCAAGCUACAAAAGCUGCAGUACAUUCGUGUUGGCGCCGGCGACCCAGAAGUUCCCUCAGCACCAGCCGCACCUGUGGCAAUAUCAUCUCCACCAACACCACCACAAGAAGAUGGUCAUGAUGGCACGAGCCUUCUCCUCCGAGCCAAAAUAGAUUUGUCAGGGGCAUCAACAGGAGCAUUGGAUAGGGCACAUAAAUCCUGCAGUAGACUGCGGCACUUCAAGGAGGAGGCCAUACGCAAGUAUGUUACUGCCAGUGGUGGCGGUGUUGGGCUUCUUCGUGCUGCUGCAAAGGGGAUUGGGGGGCUGACGGAAUUGCGUACACUUGGUGUCGUGAAUGUUGCAUAUGGGCGAGGCGACCACAGCUUUCUUGACGAGCUCAAGAAGCUUACCCAAUUGCGCAAGCUCGCGUUGUCCGGCAUCACCCGUGAAAACUGGAACAAGUUGUGUUGUGCCAUCUCGGGUCACCGCCAUCUCGUGAUCCUAUGGCUGAAACUGCUGCUGCUGAAGGAGGAAAAAGCCAGCUAUGACUUUGCCCGUUUCGAUUACAUCUCGGACCCUCCCAUGACCAUACAGCGCCUUAAGGUAACGUACACUGGUAAUGAAGGUGCUGGCAAAGGUUGUGCGUGGAUAACACCAACCUGGAUCAAGCAGCUCCGGCAGGAUAUAAGGUUUUACCAUUGGUUAACGGUAUCAAGUCAAGAGGACAUAGGAGUCCUAUAUGAAGAUGGAGGUGCAUUGCCAGGAAGUGAUCAUGUACAUCUUCGUAUCAAGCCAAUUGAGCAGCGCCUCAGUUUUGAUAAAGGGCUUUCAUUCAACGUCCUCAGCAUUCAUUGCAGUGGCUUCAGCUCAACGGUCACUUUUAGAGGUACGCUAGCCUCCGAAUUCAAAGUCAAAGAGCUCAACCUUCACUGCUGCAGCUCUUGUGGUGGGUUGAACUGUUUGCGGGUUUGUGGGCUAAAGAAUUUACAAAAUCUCGAGCACGUCUGGGUAACAGGUCCAUGUCGCGACGAGCACGAGCAAGACUUGCUCAAGCAACUUGAGGAGCACCCAAAAAACCCUGAGCUGAAGCGGCUAUAA
RNAcentral lists this ribosomal RNA (5736 nucleotides) under Triticum aestivum (bread wheat). Its description in RNAcentral is "partial small subunit ribosomal RNA". The record is from RNAcentral. Lineage: Eukaryota; Viridiplantae; Streptophyta; Magnoliopsida; Poales; Poaceae.